UCAGUCUGUCAGUGGAGCAGGACAGUGACAGCAGUCUGUCGCUGAAGCUGCUCUUCUAUCUGUAGAUGAUCCUGUUUAGUGGAUGCAGUGGAUUCUCCAUAAUUGAUAGGAGCCUGCUGAGUGCCCGUCGCUCUGCCACAAAUGUCAGACUGUCUAGCUCCAUGCCAACAAUAGAGCCUGCCUUCCUCACCAGUUUGUCCAGGCGUGAGGCAUCUUUCUUCUUAAUGCUGCCUCCCCAGCACACCACUGCGUAGAAGAGGGCGCUCGCCACAACCGUCUGAUAGAACAUCUGCAGCAUCUUAUUGCAGAUAUUGAAGGACGCCAGCCUUCUAAGGAAGUAUAACCGGCUCUGUCCUUUCUUACACAGAGCAUCAGUAUUCUACUUCUAGCCUGACAGAGUACCUUACUAAGCUGUGCAAAAUAUGGACCAUACUACUAGAGAACUUGUGGAUGGCAGCAGCUUCUCUUAAAUGGAGUGUUGACUGUAAACGUUGAAUGUCCUCAUAAAUUUAGGGUUGGACUGUGGUUCACUAUGUGGGGCCGUCACCUAAAAGUUCUGUUCUGGAAAGUGCCACUUUCAUUUAUAUCAUUACUAAACAUGUUGGUUCAGUAACCUACAAGUUAGAUCUUCCAGCUGAAUUCAGGAUUAAUUUCUCACUCCAUGCAUCCAUACUGAAAUCUAUUUAUUCUAGUCCUCAUUCUAGGAACAUUUCUCCUUUUGGAUUAUAGGUGGUGAGGAUCUCACGUUUUUUGUUUGGAGCAUUGGAAUGGUUAACAGUCUCCUGAAGGCCAGUCAAGGCUGAAGUUUGAUGAUAUUUUUCUAAUAUGCCUGAUGAGCCUUGUAUUAUUGGACUGAUGAUCAUUGCCAGAUACAUAUCAUCUUGGCAACAAUGCCACCAAGUGCCAAUCAUCCUCUGAAGCAGGAGCAGCACACACCCAGGGUUGACUGUAGAUGAAGACAUCCUCUGCUCCUGUUGGGUGUCCCGCUCCCGAGGUGCGCCACUAUGAAGUGGAAGAUUUUCUAUUCUUUUAAUUGAGAGAUGGAACUGUCCCCUCCGACUAAACACGGAGCUCGAUUCAAUCCUGAAAGAGACUUAUGUUUGUUUGAAGUGUCUGAAUAACGUUUCUGUCUCUAAAAUGUCCUGUGUAUCUGUGCACCUCUGUGAUGCAAGCGUGACAGCUGUCACAGAUGACUGGGGUCAUUACCUGGCCGGGAUGCCUGGAGGGACCAGAAAGGGACAGUAACAGCUUUCGGGGCACAAGGGGGCAGCCGCCCUGGAUAAAAUGAGGACCACGGGAAAGGGACAAAGAGGUUUUGACCUGUUGGGAACCAUGGCCACCGCCAGGGGAUGCUUUAAGCCUCAUGGGACCUGGGGAACUGUCACUUCUGCCACACCAGGAAGUGUGGCCGGAAGAUCGUAUUCAUCCACCUGCAGCACAUCCGGGCAGGAAUAAAAGGAACUGCCUCCUAACAGUCGGAGAGCCAGAGUCGGGAGUGGGAGUUGGACGAAGCUCCCAGGAGGAGAAUAGAGGCGGCUAAGGACAUUGUGAAGUCUGGAAUUGGGGUGAUUAUUGCUGAGUGCAUUGUGUGGU
Erpetoichthys calabaricus (reedfish) is the source of this 1593-nucleotide long non-coding RNA. RefSeq lists it as uncharacterized. NCBI's taxonomy places the organism in Eukaryota, Metazoa, Chordata, Cladistia, Polypteriformes, Polypteridae. The transcript has 3 exons. The record is from RefSeq and is a predicted model, not a curated record.